UACGGGGGUGCGAGCGUUGUCCGGAUUCACUGGGCGUAGAGGGCGCGUAGGCGGCCCGAUCAGUCCGGCUUGUAAGCGCGGGGCUCACCCCCGUGUUGGGCCGGGGACGGUCGGGCUGGGGCGCGGCAGAGGGGUGCGGAAUGCCGGGUGUAGUGGUGAAAUGCGUAGAGAUGUGGAGGAACACCGAUGGCGAAGGCAGCCCCCUGGGUCGACACUGACGCUCAUGCACGAAAGCCAGGGGAGCGAACGGG
This 251-nucleotide ribosomal RNA is filed under the name uncultured bacterium. Its description in RNAcentral is "partial 16S ribosomal RNA". It matches the Rfam family "Bacterial small subunit ribosomal RNA", at positions 524 to 776 of the family's 1533-position model. The record is from RNAcentral.